GAGUUUGAUCGUGGCUCAGAGCGAACGCUGGCGGCAGGCCUAAUACAUGCAAGUCGAGCGCCCCUUCGGGGGAGCGGCGGACGGGUGAGUAACGCGUGGGAAUGUGCCCUUUGGUACGGAACAACACAGGGAAACUUGUGCUAAUACCGUAUGUGCCCUUCGGGGAAAGAUUUAUCGCCAUUGGAGCAGCCCGCGUUGGAUUAGCUAGUUGGUGGGGUAAAGGCCCACCAAGGCGACGAUCCAUAGCUGGUCUGAGAGGAUGAUCAGCCACACUGGGACUGAGACACGGCCCAGACUCCUACGGGAGGGCAGCAGUAGGGAAUCUUGCGCAAUGGGCGAAAGCCUGACGCAGCCAUGCCGCGUGAAUGAUGAAGGUCUUAGGAUUGUAAAAUUACUUUCACCGGGGAAGAUAAUGACGGUACCCGGAGAAGAAGCCCCGGCUAACUUCGUGCCAGCCGCCGCAGU
This 465-nucleotide ribosomal RNA is filed under the name uncultured Alphaproteobacteria bacterium. RNAcentral's name for it is "bacterial SSU rRNA". It matches the Rfam family "Bacterial small subunit ribosomal RNA", at positions 9 to 521 of the family's 1533-position model. Lineage: Bacteria; Pseudomonadati; Pseudomonadota; Alphaproteobacteria. The record is from RNAcentral.